UAUUUUAGCCUAGUUGGGGGAACCUGUUCUGUAAACGAUAAACCUCGUAGUAUUUUUCUUGCCUUACAAUAGUUAGUAUACCUUCAUUGUUAAGUAAUUUAAAAAAGAAUUAUUGUAAUUAAAAAAAAAUUAAGUAUAUUAGAUCAAGGUGCUGCUUAUAGGCAAGUAGAAAUGGGUUACAACAAAAUUUUAUUUACACGAAAUAAGUAUUCUGAAAGGGUCUUACGAAGGAGGACUCAAUUGUAAUUUAAGAUUUAAUAAGAUUAAGUGAUAAAAGCUCUAAAAUAUGUACAUAU
This 296-nucleotide ribosomal RNA is filed under the name Palinustus waguensis. RNAcentral describes it as "partial 12S ribosomal RNA". The record is from RNAcentral. Lineage: Eukaryota; Metazoa; Arthropoda; Malacostraca; Decapoda; Palinuridae.